AUUGAACGCUGGCGGCAGGCCUAACACAUGCAAGUCGAACGGUAACAGGGAUCAUCUUGCUGAUUCGCUGACGAGUGGCGGACGGGUGAGUAAUGUCUGGGAAACUGCCUGAUGGAGGGGGAUAACUACUGGAAACGGUAGCUAAUACCGCAUAACGUCGCAAGACCAAAGAGGGGGACCUUCGGGCCUCUUGCCAUCGGAUGUGCCCAGAUGGGAUUAGCUAGUAGGUGGGGUAACGGCUCACCUAGGCGACGAUCCCUAGCUGGUCUGAGAGGAUGACCAGCCACACUGGAACUGAGACACGGUCCAGACUCCUACGGGAGGCAGCAGUGGGGAAUAUUGCACAAUGGGCGCAAGCUUGAUGCGGCCAUGCCGCGUGUAUGAAGAAGGCCUUCGGGUUGUAAAGUACUUUCAGCGGGGAGGAAGGGAGUAAAGUUAAUACCUUGGCUCAUUGACGUUACCCGCAGAAGAAGCACCGGCUAACUCCGUG
This 490-nucleotide ribosomal RNA is filed under the name uncultured bacterium. RNAcentral's name for it is "partial 16S ribosomal RNA". It matches the Rfam family "Bacterial small subunit ribosomal RNA", at positions 30 to 507 of the family's 1533-position model. The record is from RNAcentral.